UAACGGCGAGUGAAGCGGCAAAAGCUCAAAUUUGAAAUCUGGCUCCUCUCGGGGUCCGAGUUGUAAUUUGAAGAGGAUGCUUUGGGUGCGUCCGCGGCGUAAGUCCCUUGGAACAGGGCGUCAUAGAGGGUGAGAAUCCCGUCUUGAGUCGCCGGCGCGCGCCCGUUUAAAGCUCCUUCGACGAGUCGAGUUGUUUGGGAAUGCAGCUCUAAGUGGGUGGUAAAUUUCAUCUAAAGCUAAAUAUUGGCCGGAGACCGAUAGCGAACAAGUAGAGUGAUCGAAAGGUUAAAAGCACCUUGAAAAGGGAGUUAAAUAGCACGUGAAAUUGUUGAAAGGGAAGCGCUUGCAGCCAGACUCGGGUUCGGAGGCUCAGCGGGUAUUGUUAUGCCCGUGCACUCCUCCGCACCCGGGCCAGCAUCAGUUUUGGCGGCCGGUCAAAGGCCCCCGGAAUGUGUCGUCCUCCGGGACGUCUUAUAGCCGGGGGUGCAAUGCGGCCAGCCGGGACUGAGGAACGCGCUUCGGCACGGAUGCUGGCGUAAUGGCUGUAAGCGGC
This is a ribosomal RNA of 553 nucleotides. It matches the Rfam family "Eukaryotic large subunit ribosomal RNA", at positions 84 to 648 of the family's 3401-position model.